AUUGCAUAAGAGCUUUUUCUUUUUUUGACACUUUUUGUUUAUAAACAUUUUAGUUUCCCAAAACAAGAACAUGAAAGUGAGGUGUAGGGAUGACACUUCUAACAUUAACAUGCAUACAUCAGCUGUUUUUAUUUAGUACUGUCACCGUUUGUAAAGUCUGUCCAUUUUCUCCAGCGUCUUUUUCCCAGCUCCUCCUGGAGCUGCAGGGUGAAAGUCAUCUGUUCCAUCAGUCUAAUGUUUUCUACAAAAAUUGCAUAAGAGUUUUGAUGUGAUUGGUAGGAAAUAUUACUGGUGUAAGGUGAUGGCAAAUGGGGGUGAGUUCAGCUGCUGCUGUAGCAACAUCUGGAGGUUCAGAUAGUUGGAAAAUAUCAAUAUAUGGCAUCAUAAGAUGGAUCCAUCUUGGAAUCAAAGAUUCAACUAUUUCUGAGUAAGUCUAUGAAUGUGGGCCAGGUAGGGAAAGAAAGGAGACAAACCCUUACAAGUAUUUAUUUUAACAUCAUGGAAUAGUACUCACAUGCAUCUGUUAUUCAAGUAGGAACAAAUGUGCAAUGUUACUGGUCUGUCAGAAGAAAAAAAACAGCAGUGCGGUGUGUUGAGAACAUGUUUAGAUGUAUCAUGGGGAGCAUAGGAUCUUUAUUCUUAUUUUCUUUUUUGUUUAAUUUCUUGGUGGUUUACUCUAAAUGUUCUUAUCUGCAUAUUUUUCGAAGCAUACAGCUGUUCAAUAGCAACAAACUAAGCUCCAGAUUUAAUGCUAGCCUCUCUGCUACCUUUAUGCUAAAUGUUGUACAGUAAGUUAAUAUUAAUGGUGUUAGUCUCUGAUUGGUUCCACACCAACAAAGACCUCAACUCCAAAAUGAAGCAAACCACGAGUAUCUUAAGGUACACUGCACUUCUCUCUAAUCGUCAGUCAUUGAGCCAGUCUCAUUCAUUUCAUGUGGACCCUCUUAUAAGAGUCUAUCUGUAAAUUUGUCUUCCAUUAAUCAGAUCUCAGGUCCAUUUGAAAGCUAUGAUAUCUGCCGUGUUGUGCUUUGUUUGACAGGUCUGUAUGACAGCUCAUUCACCUGCCAAGUCAGAAUUUGAAAGUUUCUGUUUAAUAAAAUAAUAAUAAUAACAAUGAUUAUAAUAAUAUUUUUUCCCUUGACUCCAACACAGUUUCUGCCAACAACACUGUAGCAUUCCCUUUGUUACACAGUGCGUAAUUAAGUUUACUUACUUAGCAUUAGCUCACUCAUGACCCCUCACAUACGGCCUUGAGCCCCCUCUCUCCUGCACCUCUGGCUCCAAGAAGCCAACAUGGAAAUAAUCAAGUACAUCAUAUACCUCAUAACAUCAAUUCACCAACCAAUAAAAAAGCAAAACAAAAGCAAAACAAAAAAACAAAGACAGCCAGAGGGAAAACACCAGGCCACAUCCUAUUUCCUCCAUCCAUUAAUUAAAUACAUCUAAGCUGCAAAAGUAAGUGAUGUUGUUUUUUUUUUUGUUUUUUUUUAGCGUUGACCAGUGAUAGUCCACAUGUCUUGCUUCCCUCCCUGCUAGCAUUAUGAUUCCCAUUCUACGCCUCAGUUAGUUCUCUCCAAGUGAGGUAGUGUUUUCCCUUUAUCUUUCUUCUUUUUUUUUUCUUUUUGUUCGGUAAUUGGCAUUGUUAAGUUGAGGCAAUGUUUAAAUACAUGCUAUAAGUGUAGUUUAGUUCCAUGAAAUGAAACACACUUCAUCCAUAAUAAGUGGGUUCAGUGUGACUGUCGCAUUGUGAAUGCUCUUAUCUGCUUAUUUUUCAUUCUGUUUUCGGUGCAAAAGCUCUAUAAAACCGACUGAGUGAAACCUGCCCCAGUUUUAGCCUCCCUACUAGCUCUCUUUUGUACGCUUUAUGCCACGAGGUUAACUUCAGUUGUGUUGGUAUUUUACCCCUGUCUUUGUUUUUUUUGUUUUGUUUUUUUUACAGUAAUUGGCUCCCCUAAGUUGAAGUAAGGGCCAUGUACAUGUUUUCAGUAGAGAUCUAUAAGAUCCAACAGGAUCUAUCUGGAUUUAGCGAGGCAGAGUUAAUGCAACUUCCCAGUUUCCAGCCAUCCCUCAGAGUCUUUGAGUAGCAGGUUUUCAUUUUUCUUUGGGGAAGGGUUAAGACAGCUAAAAUGCUGAGUACAUACUGAAAGGAAUAUUUCAGUGUUGUGUUUGCAGGUUAUUAUGCAUUCCUGUUAAAUAUAUGGCCUGUAUAAGUGUAAAGUAAACAACCGACCUCUAACACAGGCCUGUUCAACCUGCAGCAGAUAGGCCUGAUCCAGCCCUUUGAAACUUUCUGUGACCCACAAAAAGCUGCCCAUACAACAGGGUGGAGUCUAAUGUGA
Long non-coding RNA from Sphaeramia orbicularis (orbiculate cardinalfish), 2339 nucleotides. RefSeq lists it as uncharacterized. The record is from RefSeq and is a predicted model, not a curated record. The transcript is spliced from 2 exons. Lineage: Eukaryota; Metazoa; Chordata; Actinopteri; Kurtiformes; Apogonidae.